GGCAUGAAAACGGUAAGAAUCGCCCUCUCACGGCGGUAACGCGGGUUCGAAUCCCGCUGGGGUCA
Molecule: transfer RNA, 65 nt
Filed under: Cryobacterium breve
Lineage: Bacteria; Bacillati; Actinomycetota; Actinomycetes; Micrococcales; Microbacteriaceae
Description: tRNA-Ser
Source: RNAcentral